This 317-nucleotide ribosomal RNA is filed under the name uncultured bacterium. RNAcentral describes it as "bacterial SSU rRNA". It matches the Rfam family "Bacterial small subunit ribosomal RNA", at positions 8 to 328 of the family's 1533-position model. The record is from RNAcentral.
AGAGUUUGAUCCUGGCUCAGAUUGAACGCUGCGGCAUGCUUACACAUGCAAGUCGAACGCGAAAGUAGGGGCAACCUGCGAGUAGAGUGGCGAACGGGUGAGUAACACAUCGGAACGUACCCAGGAGUGGGGGACAACCUCGAGAAAUCGAGGCUAAUACCGCAUACGUCUGAGGGAGAAAGCGGGGGAUUCGCAAGGACCUCGCGCUCAUGGAGCGGCCGAUGUCGGAUUAGCUAGUUGGUGGGGUAAAAGCCUACCAAGGCUACGAUCCGUAGCUGGUUUGAGAGAACGACCAGCCACACUGGGACUGAGACACG